CGAUCUUGAAAGUUUAACGUAAGGUAAAGGGAUGUAACUCAUUUUAUUUACGACGAAAUCGUCAGUCAAAAUAAUUCAUAAACUUUUUUGAUUGGCUUAUCAAUAGGUCGUCAACUCAUUUGCAUAUCAUUAUAAAUUCAUAACUUUUAGUUCACUCACAUGUGACCUCAAGGCCGGUUUCGUUGGAUCUCCCACGCGACAUAUCAGAAAAUGGAAGUGAUGAGAGAUCGGUUUUUAAUGAGAUUGAAA
This 249-nucleotide long non-coding RNA is filed under the name Mytilus galloprovincialis (Mediterranean mussel). Lineage: Eukaryota; Metazoa; Mollusca; Bivalvia; Mytilida; Mytilidae. The record is from RNAcentral.